Molecule: unclassified non-coding RNA, 311 nt
Filed under: Bursera steyermarkii
Lineage: Eukaryota; Viridiplantae; Streptophyta; Magnoliopsida; Sapindales; Burseraceae
Description: partial external transcribed spacer
Source: RNAcentral
AUCUUGUUGCUUACCUAUCUAAAGGAAUCCGAUGGUUUCGUUAGUCCAUUUCCGCCCCCUGCCCUCACGGGUUUUGGGGUGGACAUCAGGCAAGCCUCGUGUUCCCGGCACGCUUCGCCCAGCUGCGUCGCUGCCUCGGCCCAUGAGGUGCACUGCCCGUGCUUUCGGAUGCAGAAUGUUAUGUGCGGGUGCGGGGUCUAUUUAUUAGCUCCGUUUGCCCAAGCAACGCAUUUGUCCAUUGACACGAACGACUGUCGUGCCCGUCUUGAGCCCGCGGCCUUACGGCCUGCCGGAUCUCAUGCGGGCGUCGG